This is a long non-coding RNA of Cyprinus carpio carpio, 277 nucleotides long. NCBI's taxonomy places the organism in Eukaryota, Metazoa, Chordata, Actinopteri, Cypriniformes, Cyprinidae. The record is from Ensembl.
UUAUUAUUAGGGGCCAAGCACCGAAGGUGCGUAGGCACCUAUUGUAUCCGUUGGCGUUAUUAUUCUUCUUCUUCUUCUUCUUCUUCUUCUUCUUCUUCUUCUUCUUCUUCUUCUUCUUCCGCCGCAACAAGUCUAUGGCAGCCCAUAGAACCGAUUGCGGGAAAGUUGUAUAAUUUGGCACACUGAUAGAGGACAGUCCCAGCAUUAACUAUAGAAAAUUUGAAGUCUCUAACUCCAACUCUCUAGCGCCACCACUUGUCCAAAAUUUCAAUAUUUU